AGAGAUAUAGUAUAUCUAAUAUAUUUGGUUUGGGACUAAAAGAUGCUAUUAUAUAGCUAUCUCUA
Molecule: transfer RNA, 65 nt
Filed under: Brachionus angularis
Lineage: Eukaryota; Metazoa; Rotifera; Eurotatoria; Ploima; Brachionidae
Description: tRNA-Pro
Source: RNAcentral